Long non-coding RNA from Helianthus annuus (common sunflower), 572 nucleotides. RefSeq lists it as uncharacterized. NCBI's taxonomy places the organism in Eukaryota, Viridiplantae, Streptophyta, Magnoliopsida, Asterales, Asteraceae. The transcript has 2 exons. The record is from RefSeq and is a predicted model, not a curated record.
CAAAGGUAUCACAUAUGGCUCUCUCUCACACACAUACACACACUCUCUCUCUAUAUGCUAAACUCUUAUAAAACCAUUUACUGAUUCUCACGUCUGAGUCUAAACGCGGGAAGCCACCUCCCGCGUUAAGGCUAACGGUGUUCUUUGUUUGUAUAUGUCGAUCAAGAAGCUAUCUACUGGAGUGGAUCCUGGACCUUCUUCUACUAUAUUCUUGUUGUUUUAACAGCUAUGGUUUUAUCUCACUUGGUUUUCCUAGAAAGGUUUUGGAUAAGACAGCAUCACCAAGUGUAUUACAAGAAGACUAUACAAUUUUAUCAUGUGGAUAGUCAAGAUGAAGUGUUAUGAAUAAAUCAUUUACAGUCGUUAGGUAUCUUGGAUUUGGGAACUUGUGGUAGGGAGUAGCUGGAGUGGUCAUGGGUCGACUGGAAGGAUUCAUGUGUUUGAAUUAUUGAUACUAUACAUUGGUUUCGAAAUGGUUUAACUUUGGUUUAUUAAUUGCUUCCGCUGAACAUGUUGAUUUCCAAUUGAACUUAUUGAUGACACGUUUUAUUAAUAAUUGUUGAUUUAUUUAA